AAGACCUUGCGCUUUUGGAGCGGCCGAUGCCUGAUUAGCUUGUUGGUAAGGUAAAAGCUUACCAAGGCUUCGAUCAGUAGCUGGUCUGAGAGGACGGCCAGCCACACUGGGACUGAGACACGGCCCAGACUCCUACGGGAGGCAGCAGUGGGGAAUUUUGGACAAUGGGGGCAACCCUGAUCCAGCCAUGCCGCGUGAGUGAGGAAGGCCUUCGGGUUGUAAAGCUCUUUCAGCCGGAACGAAACGGUUACGGUUAAUACCUGUGAUUACUGACGGUACCGGAAGAAGAAGCACCGGCUAACUACGUGCCAGCAGCCGCGGUAAUACGUAGGGUGCGAGCGUUAAUCGGAAUUACUGGGCGUAAAGCGUGCGCAGGUGGUUUUGUAAGUCAGAUGUGAAAGCCCCGGGCUCAACCUGGGAACU
This 423-nucleotide ribosomal RNA is filed under the name uncultured bacterium. RNAcentral describes it as "bacterial SSU rRNA". It matches the Rfam family "Bacterial small subunit ribosomal RNA", at positions 207 to 622 of the family's 1533-position model. The record is from RNAcentral.